This 1626-nucleotide ribosomal RNA is filed under the name marine metagenome. RNAcentral's name for it is "bacterial LSU rRNA". It matches the Rfam family "Bacterial large subunit ribosomal RNA", at positions 3 to 1680 of the family's 2925-position model. The record is from RNAcentral.
UCAAGUGAAUAAGAGCAUGUGGUGGAUGCCUUGGCAAUGAUAGGCGACGAAAGACGUGAUAGCCUGCGAUAAGCUUCGGGGAGCUGGCAAAUUAGCUUUGAUCCGGAGAUUUCUGAAUGGGGAAACCCACCCUUCGGGGUAUCGCAUAGUGAAUACAUAGCUAUGCGAGGCGAACCGGGUGAACUGAAACAUCUCAGUAGCUCGAGGAAAAGACAUCAACCGAGAUUCCGAAAGUAGUGGCGAGCGAAAUCGGAGAAGCCUGUUAGUGAUAGCAAGACUCUUAGCAAAGCAAUCUGGAAAGGUUGGCCAUAGUGGGUGAUAGCCCCGUAUGCGAAAAGAGACUUGUGAUACUAAGCUAACGAAAAGUAGGGCGGGACACGAGAAAUCCUGUCUGAAUAUGGGGGGACCAUCCUCCAAGGCUAAAUACUCAUCAUUGACCGAUAGUGAACUAGUACCGUGAGGGAAAGGCGAAAAGAACCCCGGGAGGGGAGUGAAAUAGAUCCUGAAACCGCAUGCUUACAAAAAGUAGGAGCCUGGAAACGGGUGACUGCGUACCUUUUGUAUAAUGGGUCAGCGACUUACAUUCAGUGGCAAGGUUAACCGAAUAGGGAAGCCGUAGAGAAAUCGAGUCCGAAUAGGGCGAAAUUAGUCGCUGGGUGUAGACCCGAAACCAAGUGAUCUAUCCAUGGCCAGGAUGAAGGUGCCGUAACAGGUACUGGAGGUCCGAACCCACUAGUGUUGCAAAACUAGGGGAUGAGCUGUGGAUAGGGGUGAAAGGCUAAACAAACUUGGAAAUAGCUGGUUCUCUCCGAAAACUAUUUAGGUAGUGCCUCAAGUAUUACCGUCGGUGGUAGAGCACUGUUUUGGCUAGGGGGUCAUGGCGACUUACCAAACCAAGGCAAACUCCGAAUACCGACGAGUACAGCUUGGGAGACAGAGCACCGGGUGCUAACGUCCGGACUCAAGAGGGAAACAACCCAGACCGCCAGCUAAGGUCCCUAAAAUUGGCUAAGUGGGAAACGAAGUGGGAAGGCUAUAACAGUCAGGAUGUUGGCUUAGAAGCAGCCAUCAUUUAAAGAAAGCGUAAUAGCUCACUGAUCGAGUCGUCCUGCGCGGAAGAUGUAACGGGGCUAAGCCAGUUACCGAAGCUGCGGAUGUGCAAUUUAUUGCACGUGGUAGGAGAGCGUUCUGUAAGCCUGUGAAGGUGCGUUGUAAAGCGCGCUGGAGGUAUCAGAAGUGCGAAUGCUGACAUGAGUAGCGUUAAAGGGGGUGAAAAGCCCCCUCGCCGUAAGCGCAAGGUUUUCUACGCAACGUUCAUCGGCGUAGAGUGAGUCGGCCCCUAAGGCGAGGCAGAGAUGCGUAGCUGAUGGGAAACAGGUAAAUAUUCCUGUACCGAUGUGUAGUGCGAUGUGGGGACGGAGAAGGUUAGCUCAGCCAACUGUUGGAUAUGUUGGUUCAAGCCUGUAGUCAUGCCUGGUAGGUAAAUCCGCCGGGAGUAGAUGAGGGGUGGUAACGAGGCUGCUUGAAGACGAAGUGAGGUAUACCCGGCUGCCAGGAAAAGCCACGAAGCCUCAGCUAACAACGACCGUCACGACAAACGCACCUAGUGACAGAAGAUGACUACAU